This 72-nucleotide transfer RNA is filed under the name Acidimicrobiia bacterium. RNAcentral describes it as "tRNA-Lys". It matches the Rfam family "tRNA". From Rfam's summary of the family: Transfer RNA (tRNA) molecules are approximately 80 nucleotides in length. Their secondary structure includes four short double-helical elements and three loops (D, anti-codon, and T loops). Further hydrogen bonds mediate the characteristic L-shaped molecular structure. tRNAs have two regions of fundamental functional importance: the anti-codon, which is responsible for specific mRNA codon recognition, and the 3' end, to which the tRNAs corresponding amino acid is attached (by aminoacyl-tRNA synthetases). tRNAs cope with the degeneracy of the genetic code in two manners: having more than one tRNA (with a specific anti-codon) for a particular amino acid; and 'wobble' base-pairing, i.e. permitting non-standard base-pairing at the 3rd anti-codon position. Lineage: Bacteria; Bacillati; Actinomycetota; Acidimicrobiia. RNAcentral also lists the same sequence under 1 other name. The record is from RNAcentral.
GGGGGCGUAGGUCAGUGGUAGACCGGCGGACUUUUAAUCCGCGCGUCGGGAGUUCGAUCCUCCCCGUCCCCA